RNAcentral lists this ribosomal RNA (550 nucleotides) under uncultured archaeon. RNAcentral's name for it is "bacterial SSU rRNA". It matches the Rfam family "Archaeal small subunit ribosomal RNA", at positions 328 to 879 of the family's 1478-position model. The record is from RNAcentral.
GGGUGCGCAGGCGCGAAAGCUUUACAAUGCUGGAAACAGCGAUAAGGGGACCUCGAGUGCCAGGUUAUAAAUCUGGCUGUCGUGAUGCCUAAAAAGCAUUGCAUAGCAAGGGCCGGGCAAGACCGGUGCCAGCCGCCGCGGUAACACCGGCGGCUCGAGUGGUAACCGUUAUUAUUGGGUCUAAAGGGUCUGUAGCCGGCCGGAUAAGUCUCUUGGGAAAUCCAGCAGCUCAACUGUUGGGCUUUCAGGAGAUACUGUCUGGCUCGAGGCCGGGAGAGGUGAGAGGUACUUCAGGGGUAGGGGUGAAAUCUUGUAAUCCUUGAAGGACCACCAGUGGCGAAGGCGUCUCACCAGAACGGACCUGACGGCAAGGGACGAAAGCUAGGGGCACGAACCGGAUUAGAUACCCGGGUAGCCCUAGCCGUAAACGAUACUCGCUAGGUGUCGGCCACGGUGCGACCGUUGUCGGUGCCGUAGGGAAGCCGUGAAGCGAGCCACCUGGGAAGUACGGCCGCAAGGCUGAAACUUAAAGGAAUUGGCGGGGGAGCAC